GUAAAUAGUGAGUUCAUUGAAAAGUCCCCUCAAAAGAAGAGAAGAGGCUAGAGAGAGCCAGCAGUUGAGGGCUUGCCGCUCUUGCAGAGGCCCGGGAUUAAGGGCACACACACCUGUAACUCCAGGUCAUGGGGACCCUAUGGUCUUGUCUAGCUAAGGAGAGCAUUAGACACACACCUGGUGCACUUAGAUACAAUAAAACUAAAUUUUUAAGUGUUUAAAAAUAGUGUGUGCCACCAUGCUCAGCAAGAUCUGUUUUAUAAAAAUGCUAUCUUUCUAAGUUCUCACCAAAAGGCCAGUAUAACUUCCUUUGGUUUAGCCAAAUAAAAGUUAUAAUUCAAUCAAGUGGUAUGCAUUAAGCUCUCCUUAAUGAAAGUGCCUUGCACAUGGGA
RNAcentral lists this long non-coding RNA (392 nucleotides) under Mus caroli (Ryukyu mouse). RNAcentral describes it as "predicted gene 12278 (MGP_CAROLIEiJ_G0002627.1)". Lineage: Eukaryota; Metazoa; Chordata; Mammalia; Rodentia; Muridae. The record is from RNAcentral.